GGUUAAGUGACUAAGCGUACACGGUGGAUGCCUUGGCAGUCAGAGGCGAUGAAGGACGUAGUAACUUGCGAUAAGCUCAGAUUAGGCAGUAACAGCCACUUGAGUCUGAGAUUUCCGAAUGGGGAAACCCAACUGCAUAAGCAGUUACUGUUAACUGAAUACAUAGGUUAACAGGGCGAACCGGGGGAACUGAAACAUCUAAGUACCCCGAGGAGAAGAAAUCAACCGAGAUUCCGAUAGUAGC
RNAcentral lists this ribosomal RNA (244 nucleotides) under Sulfurovum xiamenensis. Its description in RNAcentral is "partial 23S ribosomal RNA". It matches the Rfam family "Bacterial large subunit ribosomal RNA", at positions 1 to 247 of the family's 2925-position model. The record is from RNAcentral. Lineage: Bacteria; Pseudomonadati; Campylobacterota; Epsilonproteobacteria; Campylobacterales; Sulfurovaceae.